AUUGCCCUAGUAACGGCGAGUGAAGCGGCAACAGCUCAAAUUUGAAAUCUGGCCUUCUUUGGGGGUCCGAGUUGUAAUUUGCAGAGGGUGCUUUGGUGUUGACAGCGGUCUAAGUUCCUUGGAACAGGACGUCACAGAGGGUGAGAAUCCCGUACGUGGCUGCUUGCCUCCGCCGUGUAAAGCCCCUUCGACGAGUCGAGUUGUUUGGGAAUGCAGCUCUAAAUGGGAGGUAAAUUUCUUCUAAAGCUAAAUACUGGCCAGAGACCGAUAGCGCACAAGUAGAGUGAUCGAAAGAUGAAAAGCACUUUGGAAAGAGAGUCAAACAGCACGUGAAAUUGUUGAAAGGGAAGCGCUUGCAGCCAGACUUGCCCGUAGUUGCUCACCUGGGCUUUUGCCCAGGGCACUCUUCUGCGGGCAGGCCAGCAUCAGUUUGGGCGACCGGAUAACGGCCUCUGUCAUGUAUCUUCCUUCGGGAAGACCUUAUAGGGGAGGCGUAAUGCGGCCAGCCUGGACUGAGGUCCGCGCUUCUGCUAGGAUGCUGGCGUAAUGGCUGUAAGCGGCCCGUCUUGAAACACGGACCAAGGAGUCUAACAUCUAUGCGAGUGUUUGGGUGUCAAGCCCGGGCGCGUAAUGAAAGUGAACGGAGGUGGGAACCCUUUCGGGGGUGCACCAUCGACCGAUCCUGAUGUCUUCGGAUGGAUUUGAGUAAGAGCAUAGCUGUUGGGACCCGAAAGAUGGUGAACUAUGCUUGAAUAGGGUGAAGCCAGAGGAAACUCUGGUGGAGGCUCGCAGCGGUUCUGACGUGCAAAUCGAUCGUCAAAUUUGGGCAUAGGGGCGAAAGACUAAUCGAACUAUCUAGUAGCUGGUUCCUGCCGAAGUUUCCCUCAGGAUAGCAGUAACGUAUUCAGUUUUAUGAGGUAAAGCGAAUGAUUAGAGGCCUGGGGGUUGAAACAACCUUCACCUAUUCUCAAACUUUAAAUAUGUAAGAAGUCCCUGUUACUUGAUUGAACGGGGACAUUUGAAUGCACCGUUACUAGUGGGCCAUUUUUGGUAAGCAGAACUGGCGAUGCGGGAUGAACCGAACGCGGGGUUAAGGUGCCAGAAUGCACGCUCAUCAGACACCACAAAAGGUGUUAGUUCAUCUAGACAGCAGGACGGUGGCCAUGGAAGUCGGAAUCCGCUAAGGAGUGUGUAACAACUCACCUGCCGAAUGAACUAGCCCUGAAAAUGGAUGGCGCUCAAGCGUGCUACCCAUACCCCGCCGCUGGGGCAGACAUUAUGCCCCAGCGAGUAGGCAGGCGUGGAGGUCCG
RNAcentral lists this ribosomal RNA (1311 nucleotides) under Setoseptoria magniarundinacea. RNAcentral describes it as "eukaryotic LSU rRNA". It matches the Rfam family "Eukaryotic large subunit ribosomal RNA", at positions 74 to 1401 of the family's 3401-position model. Lineage: Eukaryota; Fungi; Ascomycota; Dothideomycetes; Pleosporales; Lentitheciaceae. The record is from RNAcentral.